UACGUAGGGGGCGAGCGUUAUCCGGAAUUCCUGGGCGUAAAGCGCACGCAGGCGGUUCGCCAAGUUUGGAGUGACAGUUGUCGGCUCAACCGACAAAGGACUUCAAAAACUGGUGAACUUGAGGACGAGAGAGGAACAUGGAACUCCAGGUGUAGUAGUGAAAUGCGUAGAUAUCUGGAAGAACACCAAUGGCGAAGGCACUCUGCUGGGCCGACACUGACACUGAGAGACGAAAGCUAGGGGAGCGAAUGGG
Molecule: ribosomal RNA, 253 nt
Filed under: uncultured bacterium
Lineage: Bacteria
Description: partial 16S ribosomal RNA
Rfam family: Bacterial small subunit ribosomal RNA
Source: RNAcentral